Molecule: RNA transcript, 3540 nt
Organism: Carica papaya (papaya)
Lineage: Eukaryota; Viridiplantae; Streptophyta; Magnoliopsida; Brassicales; Caricaceae
Gene: FH6
Gene name: formin homolog 6
Source: RefSeq, a predicted model, not a curated record
AAGCUUCCCAUCUCACACUCUUUCUUUCUCUCUCUCUCUCGUUCUUUUUUCUUUUCUUUCUCUCUCUAACUCCACUGAGCAUUUUCCAAAAGAACCCAAAAGAGACGGAAGAAGAGAGAAAGAAAAAAAAAAAAAAAAAAAGACACAGAAGAUGAAUUUAGUGAAAGAAAAUACCACAAGAUUAUCUCUGCAAAAUUCACCAUGAAAGCUCCUGCGCAUCAUCAAUUCAAUCUCUUCUUUUUUGUCUUUGUUUCAUUCACCAUUCCUACAUCAAGAACCGGCAGCAGUGCUCUUAUCCUCCCACUUAAAGAAACAGUUCGGAGUGCUGAAUUCCACAGGAGAAUUCUGCAUCAGCCGUUGUUUCCGGCUAGUUCUGCCCCGCCACCUAGCACAGAGUCAUCGUCUCCUCCUCCGCCGCCGGACAAUUCGGCGUUUCCUAACCCGAACCAGCCGUUUUUCCCAGAGGUUCCAUCCGGGCAGAACCCGGAUCAGAGCCAGUCACCGCCUGCAGCACCGGCAAAUGGCAGCAUACCUAUCCCGGCGGCCACGCAGCCAGCAAAGCCGGCGAAGAGAGUGGCGAUUGCCGUCUCAGUCGGGAUCGUCACUCUCGGUAUGCUCUCUGCGCUAGCAUUCUUUUUGUAUCGUCACAGGGUCAAGCACCCCAGCGAGACACAGAAGCUCGUCGGAGGAGCCAUAGGCAAUUCCCGUAGCUCCCAUGAGGAUUCUAGGAUUCCGCCAUCGAGUUUUCUUUACAUUGGGACUGUUGAGCCCGGCAGGAGAUCGGUCAGUGAACCCAACGGUGAAAGUACUGGAGCCAACGGGUCGCCAUAUCGUAAGCUAAAUUCUGUCAAGAGAUCGGAUCGAUACCGUCCUAGUCCCGAGCUGCAGCCACUUCCGCCGUUGGUUAAGCCCCCGCCGACAGGGAAUUCUCCGUCUGCAAUGUCGUCCUCCGACGAGGAGAGUCACGACACGGCGUUUUACACGCCACAAGGCUCGACAGUCAGCAAUGAAGAAACUUAUUACACGCCAGUUUCGCGGUGUGUUAACGUGAAUAACGGUGUUCAUGUCAAUAGCUCUGUCCCUCACUCGAAGAGAACUUCGCCGAAACAGAGAUUUUCAGCUUCCUCGCCGGAAAUGAAGCAUGUUAUUAUACCCUCGAUCAAGCAACCACCAUCAACACCGCCGCUUCCGCCACCGUUGCCACGAGCAACAGCUCAUGCACCGGCGAGCCCACUAGCAGCUACUUAUUCACCCAAAAAGCCGAAGUUCACACCACCACCUCCUCCACCAAACAUGGCGCUUACCAACAGCAAUAUAUCCACACAAGUCACCAAAACUCCAGCUCCUCCUCCUCCUCCUCCUCCGCCGCCGCCACCACCGCCUGCUCUGUUAUCAUAUUCACAUAGGAAAAUUGUGAACAGGCAGACAAACGUUUCUACAGUGGCUGUCAAUUCGUUGCCGAAGCAACGGUCCCAAACACCGAGCCCCAAGAGCAGCAGCAGUUCGGGUUCGAGACCAACAAGACUUGUGGAAGACAUUGAGAAAGUACCCAGUUCGUCGGAGAGGACUGAAGGAGACGACCCAGAUGGAGGCAAACCAAAGUUAAAGCCUUUGCACUGGGACAAAGUACGGGCAACGUCAGACCGAGCCACGGUGUGGGACCAGCUCAAAUCAAGCUCGUUUCAAUUAAAUGAGGACAUGAUGGAGACUCUUUUUGGCUGCAAUUCCACCAAUUCAGUGCCAAAGGAACCCAUAAGAAGAUCUGUUCUACCUCCUGUUGAGCAGGAAAACAGAGUGUUGGAUCCAAAGAAGUCACAGAACAUUGCUAUACUUUUGAGGGCAUUGAAUGUAACAAGAGAUGAAGUGUCCGAAGCACUUUUAGACGGUAAUCCAGAUAGUUUGGGUGCUGAACUUUUGGAAACACUCGUGAAGAUGGCUCCCACAAAAGAGGAAGAAAUAAAACUUCGGGAGUACAGUGGUGAUAUCUCAAAACUAGGAUCUGCAGAACGUUUCCUCAAGACAGUUCUUGAUAUCCCAUUUGCUUUUAGAAGAGUAGAAGCAAUGCUAUACAGGGCCAACUUUGAUACAGAAGUUAAAUACCUCAGAAAGUCUUUUCAAACCCUGGAGGAAGCAAGCGAGGAACUGAAGAACAGCAGGCUGUUCCUCAAACUCCUUGAAGCUGUUCUCAGGACAGGAAACCGGAUGAAUGUUGGCACCAAUCGUGGUGAUGCCAAAGCUUUUAAGCUUGAUACACUCCUGAAACUUGUAGAUGUAAAAGGAACGGAUGGGAAGACAACACUGCUCCACUUUGUUGUCCAGGAAAUUAUUAGAUCUGAAGGUGCAGGUACUGACUCUACAAAUGAGAACCUUGAGAAUAAAACACAGUCCAGCAUGAAAGAGGAUGAUUUCAGGAAGCAAGGAUUGCAGGUUGUGGCUGGGUUGAGCAGGGACCUAAGCAAUGUGAAAAAGGCAGCAGGGAUGGACUCGGAUGUCUUGAGCAGUUACGUAUCAAAGCUUGAAAUGGGCCUUGAGAAAGUACGACAAGUUUUGCAAUUUGAGAAGCCAGGUAUGUCAGGGAAAUUCUUCAAUUCAAUGAAGAUAUUUCUCAAAGAGGCUGAAGAAGAUAUUGCUAAGAUCAAGUCUGAUGAAAGAAAGGCUUUGUUGCUUGUGAAAGAGGUUACUGAAUAUUUUCAUGGGGAUGCAGCAAAGGAGGAAGCCCAUCCUUUCAGAAUUUUCAUGAUUGUUAGAGAUUUCCUCUCCGUGCUGGAUCAUGUCUGCAAGGAAGUGGGCAGGAUGCAGGAAAGAACAAUGGUUGGUUCUGCAAGAUCCUUCAGAAUAUCUGCCAAUGCUCCCUUGCCAGUUCUCAACAGGUAUAAUGUGAGACAAGAUAGAAGUUCAGACGAGGAAAGCUCAUCACCUUGAAAUUAUGUGAAUAUGAUGCAUUGCUUGGAAGACAUCCUAUCACCCGUACUCCCAUGGUUUAUAGAUACGCUCAUUUUCAAUUGAAGCAACAGCAGAGUUUUUUUAUUUGUUUUUAUGUUACAAGUACAUCAAGGAGUAAGAUGAUGAAGAAGCAACGAAACCCACGUAAGAAGUCUUCGUUUUAUGAAGAAAGUCCAAAUUUACACGGGAAGACAGACAUUUUAUGAACAAGUUCCAGCUUCUUCCUGAAAGAAAAGCUCAUGAGAAUUGCAGACACAUACUGUUCACAUACAAUAAGAAGACAGAAUUUGUUUACCAAGAAUAGACAAGGACAAUGAAAGAUAUUGUUGUUGAAAGAUGGGGAAAUUUUGGCAGGCAAAACAGAAAACAAGACAUUAACAUUAUGACGUUGAAGCAUGUUCAUCAAACACUAGAAGGUUGCUGCAAGUUGGUCUACAAAUAAAUGCCCGUGAACCUAAUGUACGCUAAGACAAGAAGAAGAAGAAGAAGAAAUUAAAUCCAACAAUAAACAAUUACAGCACAAAAUGCUGAAUAUCCACAGUGGAUAUGGCCUUGCCAGACUGAACCUACCCUGUAUAUAAAAUACUAUUCCAUCGA